This 912-nucleotide long non-coding RNA is filed under the name Heterocephalus glaber (naked mole-rat). Its description in RNAcentral is "lncRNA (ENSHGLG00100049083.1)". The record is from RNAcentral. Lineage: Eukaryota; Metazoa; Chordata; Mammalia; Rodentia; Bathyergidae.
AAUACCCUCAUGUCAUUGCCUUCAGCGGGGCCAGUGACGAAGAGUUUUUCGAAGAAGCCGAGUCCCCAGGGAAGGGACCAGGAGGCUCUGCCUGCACGGUCACAGCUCAGGCACAGCCCAGGGACCCCAGGGCUGCAGGCCCCUCAGCGGCUGCCCUUCCUCGUGGCUCCUGCUCUGAGUUCCUCAGCAGCCACCAGGAGAGGCCACCUGGAUGGCAGCGUGCGGACUUCUACUACUCCAGGCCCGGUCAGCGGCGGUGGUAGCAGGCUGCCCACGGCCGGGUGUCUGGUUGGCCCCGACUUCUGGUCCACUCCGUGGCGUGUGGCACAGGGAGCAAAGGGCAGCUGUGACCGCCCGCACCUGCGACGUCCACGGCCAGUGAGGGGGGUCUGCAGGCUUCUCGGUGCGAGUCAACACCCAAGCUUCAGGGGCUCCCUGGCUCAGGUCCCUCCCAGGAGUGCGUGAGAUAACAUCUUGAUGAGUUCCUGUUCUCCUGUGCAAGAAAUAAACAUCUCUAAGUUUCACCAUGGGCUACUAUAAUACAAUAUUUGUUGUGAUCUGAUUUUAACAAAGUAUGCAUAAGCAAAAAUGGCUCAAAUAAACACACAAUGCAAAUGAAGCUGAGCACUGAAAUGAGAACUCAGGUCCUGACAUUUACAGUCUCCUUAAGUUUCUACACUGAUCGUCCUGGAAGUCAUUCUUGGUGACGGGAUUUUAUGGAGCAAGUCUCACAAAACCUGGAUCCACUUUUGAGUAGAACACCCAACCACCAUGAAGGCAAGGAGAUAAGGAACUGGGUCUAGCUAAGAAGACGCUUAGUAGAGAGUGGAACUUAAAAAUGACACUUAGCAGGUAACAAAGAGGCUGGCCCCUUAGGGGAAGGGGCAGCUCAGCAUUCCAGGCAAAGGAAAG